Molecule: transfer RNA, 73 nt
Filed under: Mus musculus (house mouse)
Lineage: Eukaryota; Metazoa; Chordata; Mammalia; Rodentia; Muridae
Rfam family: tRNA
About the family: Transfer RNA (tRNA) molecules are approximately 80 nucleotides in length. Their secondary structure includes four short double-helical elements and three loops (D, anti-codon, and T loops). Further hydrogen bonds mediate the characteristic L-shaped molecular structure. tRNAs have two regions of fundamental functional importance: the anti-codon, which is responsible for specific mRNA codon recognition, and the 3' end, to which the tRNAs corresponding amino acid is attached (by aminoacyl-tRNA synthetases). tRNAs cope with the degeneracy of the genetic code in two manners: having more than one tRNA (with a specific anti-codon) for a particular amino acid; and 'wobble' base-pairing, i.e. permitting non-standard base-pairing at the 3rd anti-codon position.
Source: Rfam by way of RNAcentral
GCAGAGGUGGCUCAGUGGUUAAGAGCACUGGCUGCUCUCCUAGAGGACCUGAGUUCAAUUCCCAGCACCUACA